Molecule: long non-coding RNA, 307 nt
Filed under: Populus trichocarpa (black cottonwood)
Lineage: Eukaryota; Viridiplantae; Streptophyta; Magnoliopsida; Malpighiales; Salicaceae
Description: long non-coding RNA (PTRI_LNC003998)
Source: RNAcentral
UCUGCUCCAAGCAUACAAUUUAACAAAACAAAUUCAGAAAACCAAGUCGGUCAGUUACGUCGGCCACCAAUGGCAUGGACUCAACAACAGCAGCUGCAGCAAUUAUUGCAGACUUCCAUUAACCAACAGCAGCCACCUUAUCCCCAACAGCCGCAGCCACAGCUGCAGCAGUCUAUUUCUCAAGAGCAACAUCAUGAGCAUCAGCAUCGACCACAACCACAACCACAACCACAGCAACAGCCGCAGCCACAGCUGCAGCCACAACAAAUACAACAACUGCCACCACAAUGGCAACAGCUUCAACAGC